This 1339-nucleotide ribosomal RNA is filed under the name uncultured bacterium. Its description in RNAcentral is "bacterial SSU rRNA". It matches the Rfam family "Bacterial small subunit ribosomal RNA", at positions 63 to 1381 of the family's 1533-position model. The record is from RNAcentral.
CGAGCGAACAGACGAGGAGCUUGCUCCUCUGACGUUAGCGGCGGACGGGUGAGUAACACGUGGAUAACCUACCUAUAAGACUGGGAUAACUUCGGGAAACCGGAGCUAAUACCGGAUAAUAUAUUGAACCGCAUGGUUCAAUAGUGAAAGACGGUUUUGCUGUCACUUAUAGAUGGAUCCGCGCCGCAUUAGCUAGUUGGUAAGGUAACGGCUUACCAAGGCAACGAUGCGUAGCCGACCUGAGAGGGUGAUCGGCCACACUGGAACUGAGACACGGUCCAGACUCCUACGGGAGGCAGCAGUAGGGAAUCUUCCGCAGUGGGCGAAAGCCUGACGGAGCAACCCCGCGUGAGUGAUGAAGGUCUUCGGAUCGUAAAACUCUGUUAUUAGGGAAGAACAAAUGUGUAAGUAACUAUGCACAUCUUGACGGUACCUAAUCAGAAAGCCACGGCUAACUACGUGCCAGCAGCCGCGGUAAUACGUAGGUGGCAAGCGUUAUCCGGAAUUAUUGGGCGUAAAGCGCGCGUAGGCGGUUUUUUAAGUCUGAUGUGAAAGCCCACGGCUCAACCGUGGAGGGGUCAUUGGAAAACUGGAAAACUUGAGUGCAUAAGAGGAAAGUGGAAUUCCAUGUGUAGCGGUGAAAUGCGCAGAGAUAUGGAGGAACACCAGUGGCGAAGGCGACUUUCUGGUCUGUAACUGACGCUGAUGUGCGAAAGCGUGGGGAUCAAACAGGAUUAGAUACCCUGGUAGUCCACGCCGUAAACGAUGAGUGCUAAGUGUUAGGGGGUUUCCGCCCCUUAGUGCUGCAGCUAACGCAUUAAGCACUCCGCCUGGGGAGUACGACCGCAAGGUUGAAACUCAAAGGAAUUGACGGGGACCCGCACAAGCGGUGGAGCAUGUGGUUUAAUUCGAAGCAACGCGAAGAACCUUACCAAAUCUUGACAUCCUCUGACCCCUCUAGAGAUAGAGUUUUCCCCUUCGGGGGACAGAGUGACAGGUGGUGCAUGGUUGUCGUCAGCUCGUGUCGUGAGAUGUUGGGUUAAGUCCCGCAACGAGCGCAACCCUUAAGCUUAGUUGCCAUCAUUAAGUUGGGCACUCUAAGUUGACUGCCGGUGACAAACCGGAGGAAGGUGGGGAUGACGUCAAAUCAUCAUGCCCCUUAUGAUUUGGGCUACACACGUGCUACAAUGAACAAUACAAAGGGUAGCGAAACCGCGAGGUCAAGCAAAUCCCAUAAAGUUGUUCUCAGUUCGGAUUGUAGUCUGCAACUCGACUAUAUGAAGCUGGAAUCGCUAGUAAUCGUAGAUCAGCAUGCUACGGUGAAUACGUUCCCGGGUCU